This 133-nucleotide ribosomal RNA is filed under the name Staphylococcus aureus. RNAcentral describes it as "partial 23S ribosomal RNA". It matches the Rfam family "Bacterial large subunit ribosomal RNA", at positions 1 to 133 of the family's 2925-position model. The record is from RNAcentral. Lineage: Bacteria; Bacillati; Bacillota; Bacilli; Caryophanales; Staphylococcaceae.
GAUUAAGUUAUUAAGGGCGCACGGUGGAUGCCUUGGCACUAGAAGCCGAUGAAGGACGUUAAUAACGACGAUAUGCUUUGGGGAGCUGUAAGUAAGCUUUGAUCCAGAGAUUUCCGAAUGGGGAAACCCAGCA